Molecule: ribosomal RNA, 497 nt
Filed under: uncultured bacterium
Lineage: Bacteria
Description: partial 16S ribosomal RNA
Rfam family: Bacterial small subunit ribosomal RNA
Source: RNAcentral
GAUGAACGCUGGCGGCGUGCCUAAUACAUGCAAGUCGAGCGAACGGACGAGAAGCUUGCUUCUCUGAUGUUAGCGGCGGACGGGUGAGUAACACGUGGAUAACCUACCUAUAAGACUGGGAUAACUUCGGGAAACCGGAGCUAAUACCGGAUAAUAUUUUGAACCGCAUGGUUCAAAAGUGAAAGACGGUCUUGCUGUCACUUAUAGAUGGAUCCGCGCUGGAUUAGCUAGUUGGUAAAGUAACGGCUUACCAAGGCAACGAUGCAUAGCCGACCUGAGAGGGGGAUCCGGCACACCGGAACUGGGAAACGGGCCCGAACCCCAAGGGAGGGAGGAGGGGGGAAUUUUGCCGAAUGGGGGGAAAGCUGAACGAGCCAACCCCGGUGGGUGAAGAAGGGCUUUGGGUUCGAAAAACCUUUUUUUUGGGAAAAAAAAUAGGUGGAAGUAACCGUGCAAUUCUGGCGGGAACCAAAGAAAAAACCCCGGGCAAAUUCGUG